Molecule: ribosomal RNA, 524 nt
Filed under: uncultured bacterium
Lineage: Bacteria
Description: bacterial SSU rRNA
Rfam family: Bacterial small subunit ribosomal RNA
Source: RNAcentral
AGAGUUUGAUCCUGGCUCAGAUUGAACGCUGGCGGCAUGCCUUACACAUGCAAGUCGAACGGCAGCACGGGAGCUUGCUCCUGGUGGCGAGUGGCGAACGGGUGAGUAAAGCAUCGGAACGUACCUUGUCGAGGGGGAUAACGCAGCGAAAGUUGUGCUAAUACCGCAUACGUCCUGAGGGAGAAAGCGGGGGACCGCAAGGCCUCGCGCGAUGAGAGCGGCCGAUGUCAGAUUAGCUAGUUGGUGAGGUAAAGGCUCACCAAGGCGACGAUCUGUAGCGGGUCUGAGAGGAUGAUCCGCCACACUGGGACUGAGACACGGCCCAGACUCCUACGGGAGGCAGCAGUGGGGAAUUUUGGACAAUGGGGGCAACCCUGAUCCAGCCAUGCCGCGUGAGUGAAGAAGGCCUUCGGGUUGUAAAGCUCUUUCGGCCGGGAGGAAAUCGCAUCAGUUAAUACCUGGUGUGGAUGACAGUACCGGAAUAAGAAGCACCGGCUAACUACGUGCCAGCAGCCGCGGUAAUA